UACGUAGGGGGCAAGCGUUAUCCGGAUUUACUGGGUGUAAAGGGAGCGCAGACGGCAGUGCAAGUCUGGAGUGAAAGCCCGGGGCCCAACCCCGGAACUGCUCUGGAAACUGUGCGGCUAGAGUACUGGAGGGGCAGGCGGAAUUCCUAGUGUAGCGGUGAAAUGCGUAGAUAUUAGGAGGAACACCAGUGGCGAAGGCGACUUUCUGGACCGUAACUGACGUUGAGGCACGAAAGUGUGGGGAGCAAACAGG
Molecule: ribosomal RNA, 253 nt
Filed under: uncultured bacterium
Lineage: Bacteria
Description: partial 16S ribosomal RNA
Rfam family: Bacterial small subunit ribosomal RNA
Source: RNAcentral